CGAGGGUGCUCCUCGGUCUGGGACGGACAAGGCCUCGAUAACCUCAAUCCUCCCAGGUCAGGAGCACCUUUCUCAUGUCCGACACACCCUCAAACGAUCACCGGUGAAAG
This is a small RNA of 110 nucleotides. It matches the Rfam family "Actinobacteria sRNA Ms_IGR-7". The record is from Rfam.